RNAcentral lists this ribosomal RNA (1389 nucleotides) under metagenome. Its description in RNAcentral is "bacterial LSU rRNA". It matches the Rfam family "Bacterial large subunit ribosomal RNA", at positions 795 to 2089 of the family's 2925-position model. The record is from RNAcentral.
AUGGAGCGGAUGACCUGUGGAUAGGGGUGAAAGGCCAAUCAAACUCGGUGAUAGCUGGUUCUCCGCGAAAUGCAUUUAGGUGCAGCGUCGUGCGUUCAACGAUGGGGGUAGAGCACUGAAUGGGCUAGGGGUCCUACAAGACUACCGACCCCAAUCAAACUCCGAAUACCAUCGUUCCAGAGCACGGCAGUGAGACCUCGGGGGAUGAGCUUCGAGGUCGAGAGGGAAACAGCCCAGACCGCCGGCUAAGGUCCCAAAAUCUGAACUAAGUGGUAAACGAUGUGAGAUUGCGAAGACAGCCAGGAGGUUGGCUUGGAAGCAGCCAUCCUUGAAAGAGUGCGUAACAGCUCACUGGUCGAGUGAUCUUGCGCGGACAAUGUAACGGGGCUCAAGUUCAGUACCGAAGCCGCGGAUGCGACUCUUUGAGUCGUGUGGUAGCGGAGCGUCGAGCGUGCAGCGAAGCGGCGGGACAACCCAGCCGUGGAGCGCGUUCGAGUGCGAAUGUUGGCAUGAGUAGCGAAUGAGGGGUGAGAACCCCCUCCGCCGUAUGUCCAAGGGUUCCUGGGCGAGGCCAAUCCUCCCAGGGUGAGUCGGGAGCUAAGGCGAGGCCGAGAGGCGUAGUCGAUGCACAACUGGUUGAUAUUCCAGUACCACCAUGUUCGCGUCCGUCCCAAUACUCUGUUGCUAAGGGGCUGUGUUGUCUUCGGUCAACGCGAACCGACCCACAUUGUUGCGGGAAGCUGUAGGGGGACGCAGGAAGGUAGAUGAACCCGGUGAAUGGUAGAACCGGGGUAAGCGUGUAGGAGGAGGACCAGGUAAAUCCGGGCCUCAUAAACUCUGAGACGUGAUACCGAGCCGCUUCAGGCGAAGUCAUUGAUCCUAUGCUGCCUAGAAAAGCCCAGCAGCGAGUUGACAUGGUGCCCGUACCCCAAACCAACACAGGUGGACAGGUAGAGCAUACCAAGGCGAGUGGGAUAACUAUGGUUAAGGAACUCGGCAAGUUGCCUCCGUAACUUCGGGAGAAGGAGGACCCCAGUAGCGUGAUGAGACUUGCUCUCUGAGCGUGAAGGGGUGGCACAAAAUUGAGGGAAGCGACUGUUUACCAAAAACACAGCAGCGUGCUAAGCCGUAAGGCGCUGUAUACGCUGUGACUCCUGCCCGGUGCUGGAAGGUUACGGGGAUGGGUUAGUCCUUCGGGACGAAGCUCUGAACCUAAGCCCCAGUAAACGGCGGCCGUAACUAUAACGGUCCUAAGGUAGCGAAAUUCCUUGUCGGGUAAGUUCCGACCUGCACGAAUGGAGUAACGACUUCCCUACUGUCUCAACCAUAGACCCAGCGAAAUUGAAGUACGAGUAAAGAUGCUCGUUAGCUGCAGAAGGACGGAAAGAC